ACACAACCCAUCUUUCUUUAUUCUUCCCUUCCACUCUUCCUUUGAGUCUAAUCCCGUUUCUUCCCUCCUCCAACUCCCAACUUCCGCUCCCCCGCACUUCACAUCACCUUUGCUCCGGCUUUCUUGCCGCCCGCGGGCCGCCGUUGAACGCGAGAAGAAGGAAGAAGCCAAGCACUCCACGGAACCUCCCACCACAAGCCGAGAGAUUCCAGACGGAAGCUUUGGCUCCAAGAACCCGAGGGAGGAAUCCCAGGAGAGAAGCCAAGAAAGAAACAAGGAUAGUACUGGUACUAGUACUGUAGUAGCAGCCAGCCAUGGUGAGGAGCAAAGAGGUGCCCAAGAGGCCCAAGGACCCGCUCAUGACCCCUCCGUCCAAGCCCAGGGGAUUCAGGUACGACGACGACGGCGGCUUCGGCGGAAGCUUGCCGAGGAACCGCGGCGGCUCGGCCAUGUCCCCGGCGCCGGCCUCCGUGCCCAACUACAUGCGGGCCACCAGCAGCUCCGGCGCCAAGGCCGGGCCCGGCCGGCGCGCGGGGGCGGUGCCCUCGUCGGCGUCGCCCACGACCAGGCGGGGGCCGGCGCGGGCGGUCACGAUGGGGAGGGUGCUGUUCCCGACGCCGGAGGUGCCCGGCAUGGUCCGCGCCACGCCCACGUGCUCCUCCACCAUGAAGGAGGCGCUCGGCGACUUCUUCGUGGAGGUGUACGCCGGCCCGAGGGUGAGCUCCGACAUGAGCUGCAGCGACAUGUCCCUGGACGAGAUGGACGCCGCGGUGAGGAGGAUGGAGUUCGUCGUCUUCGACCGGUGCGGCGUGGGCGAGGACGACGAGAAGGGCGGCGAUCCUGCCGUUGGCGGUGACGGCGGCAGGAGGCCGGAGGAGGACAGGCUCGGUUUCUGCAGGGACAGUUCGUCGGAGUGCAGCGAUGACGCUGUCUCCGGUCCCAUCUCCGGCAACCUCGUGGAGGAGCUGCCCUGGAUGAGGUACGAGUGCGAUAGCCUGGAGGAUGAUGUUUCAGAGGAGCAUGUUCAGGAAGCAGAGGUUUCAGAGGGGCAACAAUGUAACGACGAAGAAGGCGGAUCGAGCGAUAAUCACGAAGAGGAGGCGGAUGAAGAACAGAAACCGGAACACGAGGAGAUCAUCUCCGAUCUGCCCCGUGAAACGGGGAUCGUCGCGGAGGAAGAGGGUGUCGAUUGCAGAUCUCCACUCCGCGAAGACAUCUCAAGCACAAUGGAUCAACAUGAGGCUUGCACAGUGCAAGAGACGCAACAUGAAGACGGUGAGGAGCGUGUCUCGGAUGUUGCCCACAAAAUGAAGAUCGCCGCGGCGCAAGCAUGUAUUGUUUGUGCAGCGGAGGUCUGCAAUGAGCAGGAAGAAGAAGAAGAUCAAGACAACAUCCUGGGCAAAGUGAUCCAAGGGGAUGCUUCUGAUGGACAAGGCACGUCAGCAGAGAAGCUCUCCAAUGGUGUGGACGAGUCGGAGAUUCCUCAGCAUGAACUAGACAUCCUGGGCAAAGUGGUCCAAGGGGAUAUUUCUGAUGGACAGGGCACAUCAGAAGAGCAGCUCUCCAAUGGUGUCUGUGAACCGGAGAUUCCUGAGAAUGAAGUAGCAGAAAGCGUGGAGAAUGUCGUCGAAGAGAGCCGGGAAGAGGAUGGUGUAGCAGAUCAGGGAACAAAGGAUGAUCAGAGCAACGUUGAAUCUACCGGCAACUUAGAAGUUACAGAGAAGCAGGACAUGCCGGAUCAUGAGUCUGAAAUGGAGAUUUCUGAGACUGUCCCCAGUGUUGCAUGCGAAGAGGAUUUCGUCGAGGAAGAAGUAACCUCCAGAGCUGUUUCAGAAGGUGAAAUUUCUGACUGCAGUGCUAUUGCUUCUCUGGAUGCUGAAAUCUCAACACCACCAACAGAGGGUGGCUUUGAACAAGAUGUGAACACGGUGGAAGACGCUUUUGAACAGUAUGACGGUGCCGUGAACAACUUUGUUGAUCAGUGUAUCCCUGCAGAAGACACAGUGGAUGUCACAGAAGAUGCUGAGAAGCAAAUUGAGAUUACCUCAUGCAAUUUGGAAGAUGCUUCUGAAGAAUCUGGUACUGCCCAAGAAAGCAGCCAGGAAGUUACUUUCCUAUGUGUUGAUGCUACUGCCCAAGAAAGCAGCCAGGAAGUUAAUUUCCUAUGUGUUGAUGGUGGCGCGCAAAUGGAACUAGAGCCAAAGGUUACAAAUUGCAAGUUGGAAGAUUCUUCUGAAGAGUCUGGUAUUGCCCAAGAAAGCAGCCAGGAUGUUAAGCCUGUAUGUGUUGAUGCUGCUGCUCAAACGGAACCAGAGCCAGAGGUUACAAAUUGCAAGUUGGAAGAUUCUUCUGAAGAAGAGUCUGGUAUUGCCCAAGAAAGCUCCCAAGAUGUUAAGCCUGUCUGUGUUGAUGCUGCUGUUCAAAUGGAACCAGAGACUACAAACUACAAAUUGGAAGGUGCUUCUGCAGAAGCUGGUAUCACUGGAGAAACUGUUCAUGAUGAUAACUUGGUGUAUGUCGGCGAGGCUGCUCAAGUGCAAUCAGGGGUUGACACAAGCGAGUUGGUAGACACUUCUGAGGAAUCUGGUAUUGCUCAUGAAAUUUGUGAAGAUGAUAACUCUGCAUAUGUCAGUGAUGAUGCUCAAAGUGAUUCUGGGAUCGCCACAUGCGAAUUGGGAGAAGAAUCUGCUAAUGUCCAGGAAGCUGAUCAGGAUCAGAACUGUACAGAUGUCAAUGGUGGUUUUACAAAUGAAUCCAUGCUUACCGCUUGUGAACUGGCAGAGGCUUCUGAAGCAUAUGAUAUUACCCAAGAAGCUAUUCAAGAUGACAACAUUUCAGAUGUCAAUGAUGGUGCUCAAAAGGAAUCGGAAAUUAUAGCAUGCGAAUCGGAACAUGCUUGUGAAGAAUCUCAUAUUAUCCAAGAAGGGGGUGAAGAUGUUAACGCUGCUUGUGAAGAAUCUGAUAUAAUCCAAGAAGGGGUGGAAGAUGAUAACACUGCUUGUGAAGAAUCUUAUAUUAUCCAAGAAGGGGGUGAAGAUGGUAGCACUCCUGGUGUCCGCACUGGUGCUCUAAAGGAACCAGAGAUCAUGGCAUCCGAAUUGGCAGAUGCUUGUGAAGAAGUUUGUAUUACCAAGGAGGCUAAUCUCUCACCCGUUGUCCAGAUACCUGAGCAUAACUAUGACCUGUCAGCAACUGACGGCUAUGGGGAGCCUCAGAACCUACCAGCAGAAGACACUGUUGCAAAAGAAUUUUCCAUUGACGACAUGUGCAACGUAUUCAGCGGGUUGAACCUCAAAGGCGACGUAUAUGUUGAUCCUACCGAGUCCGAGAUAUGUCCGAGAAACAGAAGGAUCGUUGCCGGGAGGAGGAGAACACCUGAAGAAGAUGAAUACAUGCGAGGCUUUAACCCAAGGGCACCGAAUUUUCUUCCUCUGGAAUCGGACCCGGAUGCAGAGAAGGUUGAUCUGAAGCAUCAGACGGCGGAAGACCGCAAGAAUGCCGAAGAGUGGAUGAUCGACUACGCGCUUCGGAGGGCGGUGAAUAAUCUCGGCCCUGCUCGGAAGAAGAAAGUGGAGCUUCUGGUCCAGGCCUUUGAGACUGUCCUACCGCAGGAUGAGAAGAAAAGCAUUUCACCUACAAGGCCUGCCCAAGCUUGCAACUGAUAAUUCUAGAGUUAGUGGUUGAACUAAUCGUGGAGUAUGUUGACGACUCGCGAGCUACUAACUCGGUGGUCACUGCAAUAUUAGUGCCAGAGACCCGCUCCAAGUUGGACGAGAAAUAACUACAGUACUUACUAGUCAGCAGAGAUCGAUCGCUCGCUCGCUAGAGAUCUCUCUCUGGUUAAGGUAACAUGGAGAGGGUAAACUACUCACUGAUGGAGAGUUUCCUGUCUAGUCUAGUUGCUGAGCUGCAAAGGAGUAGCUCAACAACCGAGCUGUGUGUGUGUAAAUAUAUGUGUGUCAUAGUCCUGAUGCUUGGUAUUUAUGUAUACUGAUGUUUGUGAGAGUUGCGAAAAAUAUCAAGGGCGCUGAGGUGCUGCAUUGACUUUGCCCUGAGAUCAAUCAAUAAAACUCUUCUCGACUGCAUGUUUGCUUUUUUUGAAACGGAGGCAAAAGCUUUGCCUCAUCCAUUAAUUAAGAAGGAAACGGACAAGAGUUUGCAACACUUAACUUUCCUUCAGUGGGACAACCGGGAGUCGAACUCCUCCCGCCAGGAUAGGCAGGUAGUCGACACAAACACUAGACCGAGUUCCCUUUGAUGACUGCAUGUUUGCUGUGAGAAAUGAUAGUUGUUGUAUAUGCACAGUGCUUGUGUUAUGUGCAAAUGCUUAGAAUCCUGUGUGAAUUCCCAUUUCAUUUCUAGUCCUGUAUGCAGUGCCUGAAGAAAUGCAUCAGCUGGCCAGAUCAGUUAAAUG
This 4414-nucleotide ribosomal RNA is filed under the name Triticum aestivum (bread wheat). RNAcentral's name for it is "partial small subunit ribosomal RNA". The record is from RNAcentral. Lineage: Eukaryota; Viridiplantae; Streptophyta; Magnoliopsida; Poales; Poaceae.